RNAcentral lists this transfer RNA (71 nucleotides) under Capra hircus (goat). It matches the Rfam family "tRNA". Rfam says of the family: Transfer RNA (tRNA) molecules are approximately 80 nucleotides in length. Their secondary structure includes four short double-helical elements and three loops (D, anti-codon, and T loops). The record is from Rfam by way of RNAcentral. RNAcentral also lists the same sequence under 1 other name. Lineage: Eukaryota; Metazoa; Chordata; Mammalia; Artiodactyla; Bovidae.
UCCCAGGUGGCUCAGCAGUAAAGUUUCUGCCUGCAAUGUAGGAGACCCGGGUUUGAUCCCUGGGUUGGGAA